AUUGAACGCUGGCGGCAGGCUUAACACAUGCAAGUCGAGCGGGGUGAUGGUGCUUGCACUAUCACUUAGCGGCGGACGGGUGAGUAAUGCUUAGGAAUCUGCCUAUUAGUGGGGGACAACAUCUCGAAAGGGAUGCUAAUACCGCAUACGUCCUACGGGAGAAAGCAGGGGAUCACUUGUGACCUUGCGCUAAUAGAUGAGCCUAAGUCGGAUUAGCUAGUUGGUGGGGUAAAGGCCUACCAAGGCGACGAUCUGUAGCGGGUCUGAGAGGAUGAUCCGCCACAAUGGGACUGGGAAACGGCCCAGACUCCUACGGGAGGCAGCAGUGGGGAAUAUUGGACAAUGGGGGGAACCCUGAUCCAGCCAUGCCGCGUGUGUGAAGAAGGCCUUAUGGUUGUAAAGCACUUUAAGCGAGGAGGAGGCUCUUUUGGUUAAUACCCAAGAUGAGUGGACGUUACUCGCAGAAUAAGCACCGGCUAACUCUGUGCCAGCCGCCGCAGUAA
RNAcentral lists this ribosomal RNA (503 nucleotides) under uncultured bacterium. Its description in RNAcentral is "partial 16S ribosomal RNA". It matches the Rfam family "Bacterial small subunit ribosomal RNA", at positions 30 to 523 of the family's 1533-position model. The record is from RNAcentral.